AUGGAGGAUCAUCUCUCGGUUUUGCUUUGCACGACCAUUUCUGAUGCCAUUGGUGAUCAUGUGCAGAGUUUCCUGAGGUCAUCAGUGUCCAGAGGAGCAAAAGAGUACAGGGAGGAUCGUCUCAGCAAGCUCUACAUAGUUUACCUGGGUGACGUGAAGCAUGGACACCCCGAUCACGUCGUGGCCUCGCACCAUGACAUGCUCACCGAUCUUCCCGGAAGCAAGGAGGAGUCUGUUGCCUCUGUGGUGUACAACUACAAGCAUGGCUUCUCCGGCUUUGCUGCGAUGCUUACAUCGGAGCAAGCAAAGCAACUUGCAGAGUUUCCGGAGGUCAUCAGCGUCGAGCAGAGCAAAACGCACAGCGCAACCACCACAAGGAGCUACUCCAUGGAAGCAACUAUGGAGAGGAUUGUGUUCAGAAAAACUAUGGAGACGAUGUAAUCAUCGGGGUUGUUGACACCGGGAUAUGGCCGGAGUCGAGAAGCUUCAGGGAUGAAGGGUACGGGCCGGUACCGUCAAGGUGGAAAGGAAAGUGUCAACUCGGGCCAUAUUGGGGCAUCAACAACUGCGGCCGCAAGAUCAUCGGUGCACGGUUCUAUAAUGCCGGACUGACCGACGAAAUCCUCAAGGCGGACUCACUCUCGCCCCGGGACCAUAACGGCCAUGGCACACACUGCGCGUCCACCGCGGCGGGCUCAGCCGUGGAGGCGGCCAGCUUCCACGGCCUCGCCAAAGGGGUUGCACGGGGAGGCGCCCCGCGCGCUCGCAUAGCCGUGUACAAGUCCUUAUGGGGCGCUCGCAUGUCGGGCAAUUCGGCCGAUGUGUUGGCCGCCAUCGACGACGCGAUCUACGAUGGAGUGGAUGUGUUGUCGCUGUCCCUUACUGGUGGAGAGAACUCAUUUGGCGCUCUGCACGCAGUUCAGAAGGGGAUCACCGUGGUGUAUGCAGGCGGCAACGACGGGCCCAGACCGCAGACCAUCAGGAACACUUCACCAUGGGCCAUCACCGUUGCGGCGAGCAAGGUUGAUUGGUCGUUCCCGACGGUGAUCACGCUGGGAAACAAGCAACAGAUACUCGGACAGUCUUUCUAUUACCACGUACAGAACUCGUCAAGGAGUAGUUUCGCAAGUCUUGCCUUUUAUGGUGUACCACGUACGGAUGUCCUCAAUGGCAUGGACGUGAAAGGGAUAAUCCUGCUCUGCUUACCCAUACAGCCAAAUGAUCCCGACGCGAUCGCCCCACGGAACACUUUCGCAGAGGCGAAACAAUACGUCCAAAAUGGCGGGGGAUCUGGUCUUAUUUUCGCUCAAUAUACCACGGACGCUCUAAGUGAUUGCAAAGGGAUGUCCUGCGUUCUUGUGGACCUUGACACUGGGGUGAAGAUAGGAAAAUACAUGGACGCUACCAGCUCUCCAGUGGCGAAGAUUGAACCGGCACGCACCGUUACGGGGAAAGAGAUACUAGGGGCAAAAGUGGCAGACAUUAUCAAGCCUGACAUAGCUGCACCUGGAGCCAACAUCUUGGCGGCGGUGGGAGAUUCCUAUGUAAUGUAUUCCGGGACAUCGAUGGCGGCCCCACAUGUAGCAGGAAUCGUCGCGCUACUGAAAGCUUUGCACCAAGACUGGUCUCCUGCCGUCAUAAAAUCUGCCAUCAUCACCACAGCCCAUGUAACGGACGAGCGCGACAUGCCCAUACUAGCGGAAGGAGUGCUGCGGAAGAUGGCAGACCCGUUUGACUAUGGCGGCGGCAACAUCAACCCUGACGGCGCGGCUGAUCCCGGCCUGGUCUACGACAUCGAUCCCCGCGACUAUAACAGAUUCUUUGGGUGCACCAUCGUCAGGAGGACGAACGUGAGUUGUGACGCGACGGCGCUACCGGCAUACCACCUGAACCUGCCAUCUAUCGCAGUGCCUGAGCUGAGGCGCCCGAUCACUGUGUGGAGGACAGUGACGAACGUCGGUGAGGCCAACUCUGUGUACCAUGCAAAAGUCCAGAGCCCAGCUGGAGUCAGGAUCAAGGUCGAGCCGCCAAUGCUUGUGUUCGACGCCACGAACAGAGUUCAUUCAUUUAAGGUGAAGUUGUCGCCUAUGUGGAGGCUGCAAGGGGACUACACCUUUGGCAGCAUUACUUGGCGUAAGGAUCAGAAGACACUAAAGCAAAAAAUAAAGAGAAAAAAACUGGAAGAGGAAUGUUUUUCCCAUGAGCUUCCUUCACCCGGCCGGCCCCUCUCCCGUCCCGAGGACAGGGUGAAGCAGGAUGCCAACGCGUCGGAGAUCAAGAAGGCCUACUACAAGCUCUCCCUCAAACACCACCCGGACAAGAACCCCGACCCGGAGUCGCGCGCGCUCUUCGUCAAGGUCGCCAAUGCCUACGAGGUAUCUGGCAUCUCCUGCACCUUCUUGUCUUUCUUUACAGCUCUGCAUCUCCUGCUUCUAAUGACCGAACUGUUUAUGUUGCCCAAGAUCUGCUGGCCCAAUUCCAUGUAUUAGUUGCCGCGUAUUGCGCACGACCUUUUAGCGCCGUCGCCGAUACUAAAAGAUGAAGAAACUAGGGAGAAGUAUGACUAUGCUGUUGCACAUCCAGAGGAGUUCUUCUACAACACUGCUCAAUACUAUAGGGCUUACUACGGAUAUAAAACGGACACUCGUUCUGUGUUGAUUGGCCUUCUUUUAAUUGUGUCAGCAUUCCAAUACAUAAACCAGUUGACAUCGUAUAGUCAGGCCAUCGAAAGUGUGAAGCAAACUCCUGCCUACAGAAAUAGGUUGAAAGCAUUGGAGUUUGAGCGAACAGGAGGAAUUUCAAGCAAGAAGAAGGGCAACAAGCAGAUGGAUAAAAAGGUUGAAGAUGAGCUUAGAAAUGAAGUCGACUUGCAAAUUCAGGGAGUUCAGAAACCUUCUGUGUGGAAUCUCUGUGGUGUCCAAUUGAUACUUCUGCCUUACUUAAUUGGCAAGCUGCUUAUUUGGCAAAUUUGUUGGUUUUGGAGAUACCGGGUAAAGAAAUCACCAUAUUCAUGGGAGGAUGCUUGCUAUUUGACUCGGACAUCCCUUAGGAUGCCUGCUAACACAUGGCAAAAUAUCGAUGAAUUUACAAAGGAGGAUCUCGUCAUGAAGCGCCUCUGGGAGAAGGCCAACAUGGAGAGGCACAUAGCGGAGGCGAGAAGAGGAUCGAAGCAGCGUAGAAGAUAGCCUGUUGACAGCCCAAUUUUGACUGAAGAUUACGAGAUGAGGCUGUUUAACAGCAUGUCAUGGUAGGAGGACAACUACAUACCCCAGUGGAAAGGGAAGGCAUACAUGAGUCAGGCCUGGGUUCGUCGACCCAUAAACAUGGGACAUUGAUACUGGAGAGACAUAAGAUACAGGGGAUUCUUUUACCAUAUCGUACACCAUGGAGUUAUGUAGUAAUGAUAACAUUUCUUACGUCUAUUUGGAUUCUAUAGAUACAUCUAGUUGGAUGCUAUUUACA
Triticum aestivum (bread wheat) is the source of this 3462-nucleotide RNA transcript. It is a transcript of the gene named subtilisin-like protease SBT3.10, with no coding region annotated. The transcript is spliced from 19 exons. The record is from RefSeq and is a predicted model, not a curated record. NCBI's taxonomy places the organism in Eukaryota, Viridiplantae, Streptophyta, Magnoliopsida, Poales, Poaceae.